UGCGGAAGAGAGGCGUCGUGUGCUGUGUUCUUUUGAUUCAUCAGGAUUUCGUAGAAUAACCACAGUGCCUUUUAUUAUCAUGAGUAAUUUCUCUCACUUUGCAACGAAAGCUAUUCACAUUGGUAACGAACCUGAUAAAUGGAAAUGCCAUGCUGUUGUACCACCGAUAUUUCUAUCUACAACAUUUGAACAACAAGAACCGGCAGUCAAAUAUGUAAGAUUUUUAUCGACGAUUUUUACAUAUCUACCUUUAUAGUAUAUGUUAGUAUGUAAACC
This is a non-coding RNA of Paramuricea clavata, 276 nucleotides long. The record is from the annotation of a GenBank genome assembly. NCBI's taxonomy places the organism in Eukaryota, Metazoa, Cnidaria, Anthozoa, Malacalcyonacea, Plexauridae.